AACUAUAAAAAAAUAAAGCAAACAAAUAACAACAAAAUUUAUGUGAUUCACCCUCUCAUCAUAGGUGACAUCCAUGGACUUGCUCUCUUCCACUAACAUCAAUAAUAAAAUCAUCAAUUACAAGUUUCAAAUUAUACUAUCUAUCAUCUUAACUACACUCAAGAAAACUUUUACUACAUAACUGUUUAUCACUACAUAACUAUUUGUGGUAAAUACAUUAACUACUCCGUCCAAGUCUCCUCUAAAUAAAAUUUAAUAUAUUUACUACUUAAAAGACAUUAUACACCACAAAAGAUGUUUUCAACUACAUGGACAAGAGCACUCUUGUCAAUAGAUAAAAAUUCUUUUCUCUUGAAUUUUAUAGUGCAGCUCUUCUUAAUGGAACAAAGCUCUUUUCAAUGAAUUGAAAGCCACUCUUUUCAAUGGACGAGAGCUCAUCUUUGCAAUAGGCAAGAGCUCCUCUUAAUGGAUAAAGCCAAAUAAUAUCUCCACACCAAUUCUUUAGUGUUAAAUUAUGUGGGUUAGUGUUAGGCCACUUUCAAUAGGUGCCUUUCAAGUGUUGUCCUUAAUUAAGCAUUUUAAUACUAUCAUCAAGUCCUUAUUAAAUUAAUAAUGAUCAUCAUUAUUGUGUUUAGCAUAAGCAAAGGGAUUGAUUGCAUAUCAAGGCACUCACUCGUGUGCACUUGUUUUUUUUUAAAUGUUAGCAAGAGGAGAGAGAUUAGCCCCCUGUAUACCUAGGAAAGAAAUUUAAUUAGUAGAUAAUAUAACCUUAAUGAAACCUCUAAUCAAAUACCAUGUGAUGUGAACCCAUUUCAAGCUUUUAGACCCUUUUUUUUCUACAAACAAGUUGAGAGCCUAAAACGCGUUGGUUUUGGUUCCACCAAAUCUCAUGCUUAUCUUUAAAAUACAUAUUCGAACUUUUUUUUAAAGAAAAAUACACAUUUGGCGGAAAAUAUUAUAUUUUUUAUAUCCACACACAUCUGUAGAUCAAAACUUAAAAUACUUUCGUAAAUGAAAUUAUUCGAAUGUAAAUAUACCACUACAUUAAGAAAUUAGUGAUGAGUUCAAUUGAAUAAAUUUUUUUUAUUAUCUGAAUCAAUUUUUUAAGAAAAAAAAAAUGAUAAAUAAAACUUUAACUUGCCAAUACAACUAACGUAGCACAAACACUAAAAAGGUGGAAAAGACAAUGUGGGUUAGGAAGUUUAAGCUUAAAAGUGUUAUCAUAUGAAGCAAAAUGGGAUUAUGAAAUAGUACACAAGUUGAUUAGAGGUUUGAAUCAACCUAACCAAUUAGAAACCAUCCUGAAUCCGUGACAAAUGAAACAAAACAGAUGGUUUGCUUGUCAAAUUCAAGCACUGAUAAAUUAAUAAACAAUUGAAACAAAAUGACAAGUUUCAAUUAUUUAAUUACAAAAUUCCAUUACAGGGAGCAAUCAAACCCAUUGGAAGUUGCUUUGUCUUUUAUAUAAAUCACAUGAUUUGAUAACAUCUUUCUUCUGCAUCCAGCUGUGAAGCUUUUAGAACAUUUCAAUUGGUAGAGGCACCAAAUUAUCCAUUGGAAGUAGUUAAGAGAAGAGACUGGAUGAGUAGGAAUCUCAAUUACUUAAAGGGAAAAAAAAAAACCUGAUUGAACUAAUCUCACUAUUUUGCUUUCUGCAUCAGAACUAUCUUUUCUAAUUAUAAUGUCUAAAGACUGUUUUUGUUUAGUGGCUGUGAUUAAUUAUUAGUGAUCAUUAAUUGGUGUGAUUACAGUUAAUCAAGAUGAAAACUCUUUUAUAAUCAAUUAAGAAUAAUUUAGAAUUAUUUAUUUUAAAUGCACCAAAUUGAUAUAGUGUGCCUUUAAAAUAUGGUCAAAAGGUGAAAUCCCUUAUGGGUGAGAUAACUUUAAAAAUUAGAGAAGAAAAGAAUGCAGGGUUGGAUUAUUUAAAAGGGCUGCAUUUAGAGCUAAAUUUCUUAUAUUUUAUUAGUUUAGUGAGAGACCAUAACCAUGGUCUAAGUGAUUUACACCAGAUUCAAUAUUAAUUUCAUAUUGAGCUUUCCUUUAAGCCUGUCUCACUCAAGGAGGCAAACUUUCUGGCAUGCCAUAGGGCAUGGGCUCAAUCUGAUUCUCCUCAG
RNAcentral lists this unclassified non-coding RNA (2114 nucleotides) under Hevea brasiliensis (rubber tree). Lineage: Eukaryota; Viridiplantae; Streptophyta; Magnoliopsida; Malpighiales; Euphorbiaceae. The record is from RNAcentral.